UCCGUCCUGCUCUGUCCCUGCAGUUCAGCAAGAUGUCGGUGAAGGAAGGUGCACAGCGCAAGUGGGCAGCACUGAAGGAGAAGCUGGGGCCGCAGGAGUCCGACCCCACGGAGGCCAACCUGGAGAGCGCAGAGCCUGAGCUCUGCAUCCGGCUGCUGCAGAUGCCCUCCGUGGUCAACUACUCGGGCCUGCGCAAGCGCCUGGAGAGCAGCGAUGGCAGCUGGAUGGUGCAGUUCCUGGAGCAGAGCGGCCUGGACCUGCUGUUGGAGGCGCUGGCGCGGCUGUCGGGGCGCGGCGUGGCCCGCAUUGCGGACGCCCUGCUGCAGCUCACCUGCAUCAGCUGUGUGCGUGCAGUCAUGAACUCGCAGCAGGGCAUUGAAUACAUCCUCAGCAACCAGGGCUAUGUGCGCCAGCUCUCCCAGGCCCUGGAUACGUCCAAUGUGAUGGUCAAGAAGCAGGUGUUUGAGCUGCUGGCUGCUCUGUGCAUCUAUUCACCCGAGGGCCACGCCCUGACGCUAGAUGCCCUGGACCAUUACAAGACGGUGUGCAGCCAGCAGUACCGCUUCAGCGUCAUCAUGAAUGAGCUGUCAGACAGUGACAACGUGCCCUAUGUGGUCACCCUACUCAGCGUGAUCAACGCCAUCAUUCUGGGUCCUGAGGAUCUCCGCACUCGUGCCCAGCUGCGGAGCGAGUUCAUCGGGCUACAGCUGCUGGAUAUUCUGACUCGGCUACGAGAUCUAGAGGAUGCUGAUCUGCUGAUCCAGCUGGAAGCCUUCGAAGAGGCCAAAGCAGAGGAUGAGGAGGAACUGCAGCGUGUUUGCGACGGUAUCAACAUGAACAGCCACCAGGAAGUCUUCGCCUCCCUGUUCCACAAGGUGAGCUGUUCCCCAGCAUCAGCCCAGCUGCUGUCGGUGCUGCAGGGUCUCAUGCACCUGGAGCCUGCCGGCCGCUCAGGCCAGCUGCUCUGGGAGGCCCUGGAGAACCUGGUGAACCGGGCUGUGCUCCUGGCCAGCGACGCCCAGGCUUGCACCCUGGAGGAGGUAGUUGAGCGACUGCUGUCCAUCAAAGGGCGGCCCCGACCAAGCCCCCUGGACAAGGCCCACAAGAGUGUCCAGGCCAACCUAGGCCAGAAUCUGGACAGUUCCUCCCGAAACACUACUACUCCCACAGCUAAAGUGGAAGGCCAGCAGCUGGCAGUGGCUUCUACCUGCCAGCAUGUGGGCAGCAGCCAGAGCCCCAGUGAUGAUGUAGCUCCACAGACAACAGCCCUCCAACAGGCAGCCUCACCUCUACCUACCCCACCGCUCUCCAGCUCCACCCCUGUGCUCCCUCCACCCCCACCCCCCCUGCCAGGCCAAGGGACCAUAUCUCUCCCAGCACCCCCUCCACCCCCACCAUUGCCACCCCCCUUGCCAGGCUCAAGGACCAUAUCUCCUCUACCCCCACCACCACCUCCCCUACCGGGCUCAGAGGCCAUGUGCCCCCCAGCACCUCCACCACCUCCACCUCUGUCUGACUCCUGGAGGAUCCCGCCCCCGCCCCCGCCCCCACUCCCUGGCAUGGGUUGUCCACCUCUUCCUCCUCCCCCUCCCCCACUACCUGGAACAGGCGGGAUUCCUCCCCCACCUCCUCCCCUGCCUGGUUUCUCUGUCCCCUCCAUGGUGGGUGGUGUGGAGGAGAUCAUUGUGGCUCAGGUGGACCACGGCCUGGGCUCAGCCUGGGUCCCCAGUCACCGGAGGGUGAAUCCACCCACACUGCGUAUGAAGAAGCUGAACUGGCAGAAGCUGCCAUCCAAUGUGGCACGAGAACGCAACUCCAUGUGGGCAACACUGAGCAGCCCUUGCACAGAGGUGGUGGAACCUGACUUCUCCAGCAUUGAGCAGCUCUUCUCCUUCCCCAUGGCUAAGCCCAAGGAGCCCUCUGCUGCCCCCAUCAGGAAGGAACCCAGAGAGGUCACUUUUCUGGACUCCAAAAAGAGCCUGAACCUCAACAUCUUCCUGAAGCAAUUUAGAUGCUCCAAUGAAGAAGUCACUGCAAUGAUCCGGGCUGGAGACACAGCCAAGUUUGAUGUAGAGGUUCUCAAACAGCUCCUAAAGCUCCUUCCAGAAAAGCAUGAGAUUGAGAACCUGCGGGCAUUCACUGAGGAGCGAGCCAAACUGGCCAGUGCUGACCAGUUCUACGUUCUCCUCUUGGACAUUCCCUGCUACCAGCUACGGGUGGAGUGCAUGAUGCUGUGUGAGGGCACAGCCAUCGUACUGGACAUGGUGCGGCCCAAGGCCCAGCUGGUGCUCACCGCCUGCGAGAGCCUGCUCACCAGCCAACGGCUGCCUGUCUUCUGCCAGUUGAUCCUCAAGAUUGGGAAUUUCCUCAACUAUGGCAGCCACACAGGAGAUGCAGACGGUUUCAAGAUUAGCACGUUGCUGAAGCUCACAGAGACCAAGUCCCAGCAGAGUCGGGUGACGCUGCUGCACCAUGUGCUGGAGGAAGUAGAGAAAAGCCACCCAGACCUCCUACAGCUGCCGCAGGACUUGGAGCCGCCCUCUCAAGCUUCAGGAAUCAACCUGGAGAUCAUCCGCUCAGAAGCCAGCGCCAACCUGAAGAAGCUUCUGGAAACAGAGCGGAAGGUGUCCACCUCAAUCCCUGAGGUGAAAAAACAGUAUGCUGAGCGCCUCCAGGCCAGCAUUGAGGCCUCUCAGGCGCUAGACAAGGUGUUUGAGGCCAUUGAGCGGAAGAAGCUGGAGCUGGCCGACUACCUGUGUGAAGACGCCCAGCAGCUGUCUCUAGAGGACACGUUCAACACCAUGAAGACUUUCCGAGACCUCUUCACCCGUGCCCUGAAGGAGAACAAGGACCGGAAGGAGCAGAUGGCGAAGGCGGAGAGGAGGAAACAGCAGUUGGCAGAGGAGGAGGCACGGAGGCCGAGGGGCGAGGAUGGGAAGCCUGUCAGGAAGGGACCUGGGAAACAAGAAGAGGUGUGUGUCAUCGAUGCCCUGCUGGCCGACAUCAGGAAGGGCUUCCAGCUACGGAAGACAGCCCGGGGCCGAGGGGACGCCGAAGCGGGCAGCAGAGUGGCUCCAACAGAUCCUCCAAAGGCCACAGAGCCUGCAGCUGCCAGCCAUCCUAUACAAGGCACAAACCACCCUAUCUCAGAGCCAAGCUUGGAUACAACAGCAGCCGGCGAGCCACAGGGCUGGGACCUUGUGGACGCUAUAGCCCCCAGCCCCCAGCCCUCCAAGGAGGAAGGUGGCCCCCCAGCCCUGGAGAGGCGUUCUUCCUGGUAUGUGGAUGCCAGUGACUUCCUGGUCCCAGAAGAUACCCUGAAUGCCCAGCCCUCUGAGGGCGUCUGGCCAGUGACUCUGGGAGAUGCUCAGGCCUUGAAGCCCCUGGAGUUCUCUAGCAAUAAACCUCCUGGAAUCGAGAGCUCCCAGCAGGAUGCUGUGGAUCCUGAAGCCCUGAGGGGUGUCCACCACGCCAAGGCUGACGGCAUGAGAGAGGGAGCAGAGGAAACAGCUGAGCGCGGCCACGGCACCCACCUCCCCUGCACAGGCCCUGGAGAGGAUGAGGAUGAGGACGACACAGCCCCAGAGUCUGCACUUGACACAUCCUUGGACAGGUCCUUUUCUGAGGACACAGUGACAGAUUCCUCAGGGUCUGGCACCCUCCCCAGGGUUCGAGGCCGGGUCUCAAAGGGGACGAGCAAGCGAAGGAAGAAACGUCCCUCGAGAAACCAAGAAGGGUGGUCUGGCAUUAAGAUCCUGGGUGCAACUGCCAAUUGUCACUGUGACCAGAGAAUCUGGGCUUCGGACUGGGCUUCUGCCCCUGACCAAGAGUGUUGCCACGUGUUGCCAUGGCUAGCUUGGCCCCCACAGAUCCCAGCACCCUGAGCUCAGGGCUGCCCACCUGUGAUGAGCUGAUGAGUGUGUUUCUUUUAUUUGGAAGCAGAGUUUGUCCCUGAUUCUGAUGAUAAUAAAACAAAAAGGCUGUGUGUGAUCCAGUGAGGCCUCAGGUCCAGGCCCAAAGCUAAGUGAGUGUCCUCAGCGGCUCAGUACAGCAGCAGAUGCUGGAUGUGCUGCCUGGAGGGGCUCUUCGGGGCCAGGCUGGGACUGGGCCCCUGAGAAACCGAAACUCCGUGCCUUACCCAGCCGGGAUCCUUGGAAGCCUUGGCCGUUGAUGCUAGGACCUGACCUGGCAUCACCCUGGACCACCUGCACGCUCAUAGGCUCACAAUCUGCUUUGCAAACCUCUACCCACCCCUAUCGCAUGCACCGCAGGGGAGGGAGGGAAUCUCCUGUCUGACUCUAGGGAGAUACAAACGCCUGCAGUGGACUGCAGCAUCCCCAGCCUGUCUCGGUGGCUCAGUUGAUUUUUAGCUGAGUACUGUUUUCUGCAUCUUUCUUCUGCUGUGGCUGAAUUGGAGAUGGCGAGGGCUCCAGGGAGGCUUGCUGGCAGUGCUGUGGGAAGAUCCUGGCUGGUAGGCCCCAAGGAACAAGAAGAACUGAAUAAGGAGAGGGGACCACAACAGCUGCCCUCUCCUUCAGUGUCCGCCCAGCAAGGAGCAGGCUGCCCCUGCUCGGCUCCCCUGUCCCCACGCCAGGUGUGCACUGUUGAGUUGGAGCCCAGCGGGGAUUUUAACCAAUAAAAAGCAACCUUGUCUGUCA
Myodes glareolus (Bank vole) is the source of this 4658-nucleotide non-coding RNA. The record is from RefSeq and is a predicted model, not a curated record. Lineage: Eukaryota; Metazoa; Chordata; Mammalia; Rodentia; Cricetidae.